RNAcentral lists this ribosomal RNA (1156 nucleotides) under Weissella viridescens. RNAcentral's name for it is "bacterial SSU rRNA". It matches the Rfam family "Bacterial small subunit ribosomal RNA", at positions 49 to 1162 of the family's 1533-position model. The record is from RNAcentral. Lineage: Bacteria; Bacillati; Bacillota; Bacilli; Lactobacillales; Lactobacillaceae.
CUAUACAUGCAGUCGAACGCUUUGUGGUCCAACUGAUUUGAAGAGCUUGCUCAGAUAUGACGAUGGACAUUGCAAAGAGUGGCGAACGGGUGAGUAACACGUGGGAAACCUACCUCUUAGCAGGGGAUAACACUUGGAAACAAGUGCUAAUACCGUAUAACACUAAUAACCGCAUGGUUAUUAGUUAAAAGAUGGUCUUGCUAUCACUAAGAGAUGGUCCCGCGGUGUAUUAGCUAGUUGGUAAGGUAAUGGCUUACCAAGGCAAUGAUACAUAGCCGAGUUGAGAGACUGAUCGGCCACAAUGGGACUGAGACACGGCCCAUACUCCUACGGGAGGCAGCAGUAGGGAAUCUUCCACAAUGGACGAAAGUCUGAUGGAGCAACGCCGCGUGUGUGAUGAAGGGUUUCGGCUCGUAAAACACUGUUGUAAGAGAAGAAUGACAUUGAGAGUAACUGUUCAGUGUGUGACGGUAUCUUACCAGAAAGGAACGGCUAAAUACGUGCCAGCAGCCGCGGUAAUACGUAUGUUCCAAGCGUUAUCCGGAUUUAUUGGGCGUAAAGCGAGCGCAGACGGUUAUUUAAGUCCGAAGUGAAAGCCCACAGCUUAACUGUGGAAGUGCUUUGGAAACUGGAUAACUUGAGUGCAGUAGAGGAGAGUGGAACUCCAUGUGUAGCGGUGAAAUGCGUAGAUAUAUGGAAGAACACCAGUGGCGAAGGCGGCUCUCUGGACUGUAACUGACGUUGAGGCUCGAAAGUGUGGGUAGCACACAGGAUUAGAUACCCUGGUAGUCCACACCGUAGACGAUGAGUGCUAGAUGUUUGAGGGUUUCCGCCCUUAACUGUCGCAGCUCACGCAUUAAGCACUCCGCCUGGCGAGUACGACCGCAAGGUUGAAACUCAUAGGAAUUGACGGAGAACCCGCACAAGCGGUGGAGCAUGUGGUUUAGUUCUAAGCAUCGCGAAGAACUUAACAAGUCUUGACUUCCGUUGACACUUCAGACAUAAAGCAUAUCACUUCCGGGACAAGUGACCAGUGAUGCACGGGUGGUCGUCAGCUCGCGCCCCGCCACGUGCGGGAAGUGGUGGUACAACCCCCACCCUUAUGCCAAAUGAAAAAAUACCCGUGGCCCCUCCCAUGAGGAAGGGGUGGGGCACC